AGAGUUUGAUCCUGGCUCAGGAUGAACGCUGGCGGCGUGCCUAAUACAUGCAAGUCGAGCGAACUGAUUAGAAGCUUGCUUCUAUGACGUUAGCGGCGGACGGGUGAGUAACACGUGGGCAACCUGCCUGUAAGACUGGGAUAACUUCGGGAAACCGAAGCUAAUACCGGAUAGGAUCUUCUCCUUCAUGGGAGAUGAUUGAAAGAUGGUUUCGGCUAUCACUUACAGAUGGGCCCGCGGUGCAUUAGCUAGUUGGUGAGGUAACGGCUCACCAAGGCAACGAUGCAUAGCCGACCUGAGAGGGUGAUCGGCCACACUGGGACUGAGACACGGCCCAGACUCCUACGGGAGGCAGCAGUAGGGAAUCUUCCGCAAUGGACGAAAGUCUGACGGAGCAACGCCGCGUGAGUGAUGAAGGUUUUCGGAUCGUAAAACUCUGUUGUUAGGGAAGAACAAGUGCCGUUCGAAUAGGGCGGCACCUUGACGGUACCUAACCAGAAAGCCACGGCUAACUACGUGCCAGCAGCCGCGGUAAUACGUAGGUGGCAAGCGUUGUCCGGAAUUAUUGGGCGUAAAGCGCGCGCAGGUGGUUUCUUAAGUCUGAUGUGAAAGCCCACGGCUCAACCGUGG
Molecule: ribosomal RNA, 630 nt
Filed under: uncultured marine bacterium
Lineage: Bacteria
Description: bacterial SSU rRNA
Rfam family: Bacterial small subunit ribosomal RNA
Source: RNAcentral